AUAAUGUCAGGGUGUUUCAGGUCCACAUGUGUGUCUUUCGCCACUAUUAAGGUCACUGAAUAAGAUAACUAAAACACGAGGUGGUCAGUGAUCAACACAAAAUAAGGUCCUAAUUCCCACAAAGUUUUGACUGACUCGAUCAUAAAAACUGACUCAAACUGACUCAAAAGAAAAACAAAAGAAAGAAACAAGUUAGUAAACGACGAAAACCCUACCCCAGAAUUACUUCACACCGUCCCUGGUGUGAAA
RNAcentral lists this long non-coding RNA (249 nucleotides) under Brassica napus (rape). RNAcentral describes it as "long non-coding RNA (BNAP_LNC026765)". Lineage: Eukaryota; Viridiplantae; Streptophyta; Magnoliopsida; Brassicales; Brassicaceae. The record is from RNAcentral.